RNAcentral lists this ribosomal RNA (253 nucleotides) under uncultured bacterium. RNAcentral's name for it is "partial 16S ribosomal RNA". It matches the Rfam family "Bacterial small subunit ribosomal RNA", at positions 524 to 776 of the family's 1533-position model. The record is from RNAcentral.
UACGUAGGGGGCUAGCGUUGUCCGGAAUCAUUGGGCGUAAAGCGCGUGUAGGCGGUCCGGUAAGUCCGCUGUGAAAGUCGGGGGCUCAACCCUCGGAUGCCGGUGGAUACUGUCGGGCUUGAGUACGGAAGAGGCGAGUGGAAUUCCUGAUGUAGCGGUGAAAUGCGCAGAUAUCAGGAGGAACACCAAUUGCGAAGGCAGCUCGCUGGGACGUUACUGACGCUGAGACGCGAAAGCGUGGGGAGCGAACAGG